AAGUACCCUAAAUCCUUGUCUUUCUUGAUUCUUGGGGCCUAACAGGAAUACUGACAUUAAAAGAAAAAGAACUCAAAAAAGGAUGCUGACAUUUCAGAAUUCUUAUAUAGCCAAAACUCAUCUAUGACUGCCAGCACUUCAGUGAUAUCCCCCACAAACAGUGGCAGUUCCUCAGAUACGCUGGGGCAGAAAUCAAAGACAGCCCGCACCAGGGAGCCUGUCUCCAUCUUUGGAAUCUGCAAUAAAGAGAUACAAAAUCCAGA
Non-coding RNA from Pantherophis guttatus, 263 nucleotides. NCBI's taxonomy places the organism in Eukaryota, Metazoa, Chordata, Lepidosauria, Squamata, Colubridae. The record is from RefSeq and is a predicted model, not a curated record.